This 468-nucleotide ribosomal RNA is filed under the name uncultured bacterium. RNAcentral describes it as "partial 16S ribosomal RNA". It matches the Rfam family "Bacterial small subunit ribosomal RNA", at positions 28 to 507 of the family's 1533-position model. The record is from RNAcentral.
GACGAACGCUGGCGGCGUGCUUAACACAUGCAAGUCGAACGGAAAGGCCCUGCUUUUGUGGGGUGCUCGAGUGGCGAACGGGUGAGUAACACGUGAGUAACCUGCCCUUGACUUUGGGAUAACUUCAGGAAACUGGGGCUAAUACCGGAUAGGAGCUCCUGCUGCAUGGUGGGGGUUGGAAAGUUUCGGCGGUUGGGGAUGGACUCGCGGGUUAUCAGCUUGUUGGUGGGGUAGUGGCUUACAAAGGCUUUGACGGGUAGCCGGCCUGAGAGGGUGACCGGCCACAUUGGGACUGAGAUACGGCCCAGACGCCUACGGGCGGCAGCAGGGGGGAAUCUUGCGCAAUGGGCGGAAGCCUGAUGCAGAAACGCCGCGUGCGGGAUGACGGCCUUCGGGUUGUAAACCGCUUUCGCCUGUGACGAAGCGUGAGUGACGGUAAUGGGUAAAGAAGCACCGGCUAACUACGUG